Molecule: long non-coding RNA, 1498 nt
Filed under: Brachypodium distachyon (stiff brome)
Lineage: Eukaryota; Viridiplantae; Streptophyta; Magnoliopsida; Poales; Poaceae
Description: long non-coding RNA (BDIS_LNC003704)
Source: RNAcentral
AAUGCCCGAGAGCUUUCUAAAUUUGUUGUGAUAUGAAAAGUACUCAGGACAAAGACUUGUGUUAACAAAACCUAAGAUGCAACAUAUUAUAGAAAUGUACGAGUAUUUAUUUGCAUCACGGAUGCAGAAUGAAAUGGCAGUUUGCCAUGAAUAGACGAGAAUUACGAACAAAGUUCAUACACAUAAAGAUUUCUAAGCUGCAACCAUAUGAAAGGUCUUUUUAAGGAUAAACACGAGCACCUUCUGCCUUCCGGCGACAGCGACAGCAUUCCUGCAUCUUACAGUUAACCUCUAAGCUAGUACUUCACUGCCAGAUCUACGAAACCCUGUACCCAUCUCAAAGCAAAACAGGAGCACACAGCCACAGACACUCAGACACUUUCAUGCUUAUCCAGAACAAAACAUCCGGUUUAAAGAACCCAUGAUUAUUAGUUACACUAGAUGAUUGCAAAAGACGAUUGAUUCCAUCCAGCCUAGCCAGUGAAAGCUCGCAAACAUUGCAUGGGAUCAUUGGAGCUGGCCGCAGCUUGUCUUAAAGAAUACAUAGAGGCAAAUCCACUGCCUAAAUCUUAGUAAUUACUUGUGGUGCGUCGUCUCAUCAUUCGACAUUUGACAUCACUGGCUAGGCGUACAUACAUGCACAACCGGAUCUGGUUCUCUGCCUGGAGACAUAUAUCAGUGGAUAUAUGAUUCACCAACCUCGAGUCAGUAGUGCUCCCAGACGUCAUCGAUCGAGCAGAUCGAUCAGGUAAUAGGAGGUUGAUCCCCUUUGUCGUCUCUCGAGACGGAGCCCUCGCUCUGAUAUUUAUGUAACCUGGUAAUAAAGUAACCGUCGCAAAUCCCGUGCAAUUUCCAUUUGACAUUUUCUAAUCCUGGUAUUUCUUCCACUUCCUGAAUGUUACCGGCCUAAAGCAAAAAAAAAAAGUUUCUCAAAAAAAAGCAAAAAAAAAGUGCUUUGAUUUUUUUUUACAUAAUUUUAUUUUAAAACAUGUCAAGCAUAAGUUUUAUUCCUAAGAAAUGUACACAACCAUUUAUUAAGAAAGUGUCUAGUACCAAGACCGACUCAUUAGCUUAAUAAAAACUCCAUCACAAACCUAUUGCUGUGGACUGAAAUCCACAAGCAGAUAGGAUGCAUCUUAUAACUUGUAAGGGUAAAAUGUGCCGAAUGUUACUGACAAGAAAUUAUAACAUAGCCUACGGUGUAGUACCCUGUCUCUCUACCUGAAUUUGGUUGUUAUUUCUGUGGAUUUACCAUCAUGAUUUCCGGAACAUGAUCCUUAAAAUGAUUACCCCAGACAAUCAUCCCAUGCUGAAAGAAAAUUAGUGCCACAGGACAUAGAGCACAUGAUCUGAUAGUGAUACUCCAAAGUGGUAAAAACUAUAAACAAGCAAGCUGCAGGAAGACAGCCCUACCAUAUAAAAAUCUUCACUGGUAAAAGAGAGGAACAUAUAAAGGGGGGACGCAUGUAAUAAGAUCGUAUAUGAUUAACGGAAUCAC